AUUGAACGCUGGCGGCAGGCCUAACACAUGCAAGUCGAACGAGUGGCGGACGGGUGAGAAAGGUCUGGGAAACGGCCUGAUGGAGGGGGUUAAGAACCGGAAACGGAAGCGAAAACCGCACACCAUCGGAUGUGCCCAGUGGGGAUUAGCUAGGGGGGGGGGUAACGGCUCACCAGGGCGACGAUCCCGAACUGGUCUGAGAGGAUGACCAGCCACACUGGAACUGAGACACGGUCCAGACUCCUACGGGAGGCAGCAGUGGGGAAUAUUGGACAAGGGGCGAAAGCCGGAUGCAGCCAUGCCGCGUGUGUGAAGAAGGGCUUCGGGUUGUAAAGUACUUUCAGCGGGGAGGCGUUACCCGCAGAAGAAGCACCGGCUAACUCCGUGCCAGCAGCCGCGGUAAUAC
RNAcentral lists this ribosomal RNA (406 nucleotides) under uncultured bacterium. Its description in RNAcentral is "partial 16S ribosomal RNA". It matches the Rfam family "Bacterial small subunit ribosomal RNA", at positions 29 to 526 of the family's 1533-position model. The record is from RNAcentral.